RNAcentral lists this long non-coding RNA (954 nucleotides) under Jatropha curcas. Its description in RNAcentral is "long non-coding RNA (JCUR_LNC002761)". Lineage: Eukaryota; Viridiplantae; Streptophyta; Magnoliopsida; Malpighiales; Euphorbiaceae. The record is from RNAcentral.
UGACUUUUGCUAUAAGCGUUCUUUUGGAACACAAGCAAACAGAACAAUAAAAGCAUUAAAAACAAAAGAACUACAGCAAAAGCAUUAAAAAAGGAAACAAAGUAAAUCCAAGAACAAAAGAAAUAAAAGUCAAAACAAGAAAUAAAAUAGAAUAAAUUAGACUUAACAAACUAAACUCAAAUCAAAAAAUUAAUUACGAAAAGAGUGAGCGAAUUGAGAUUUCUAAAUCAAUUUGAAGCCAUAGUGUUGUCUUGGAUCUGUUGUCCAAGAAACAAAGAAAUUCAGUGAUCCAUCAGCUCCACCACUGCACGUCGCCAUCACCCCCACACAAACAUUCUACAAUCUCUAAUGAAAAUCAAUUAAUUUUAAAUAAAAAUUCAGACUCAUUUUUCUCAGAUCUAAUGUAUUCAAGAGAGAGACAAGUGAGUGUUUGUUUUCCCUUUGCAAAGCAAAACCAUCAUUCACUGACAAAAAAUGACUAUUCCAUUUUCACCUCCCUCCACUAUAAAAAGGUGCUUUCGAAGGUGUUUUCGGUCGACCAUGGAUUCGCCAUCGUCGUCUUUAUAUCUAGCUAUGGCCGCUCUUUAUUAGAGUUUCAUUAAUGGAAAUCUCUGCCUUAUAUUCACAAGCGUACUCUCGAUCAAAUUCACGAGAUAUGCAUUCACUGCAAUAGAGAAAAUGAGAAGGGAUUAAGAGAUAGAGAGAUGGAGAGAUCAAGAUGGGUGUAGAAGGGGACAUGGAGUUCAAGAGAAUUAUUUAAAGGUCAAUUUUGUCUUUCAAUAAUGAAUUAAUGCAAAAAGUCCCCAAAUUGGAGGGAGGACCAUUUUAUAAAUGGACUAAUAAUUUAGGGAUGGAUGAAUUACUUAUUAAACAUGGAGGGAUUUAUAUGUUAAUUAACCCAUAAUUUAGGGACAUGUUUAUGUUUUUUUCCUAUUUAUUGAUUAAGAAAUUCUU